RNAcentral lists this long non-coding RNA (2130 nucleotides) under Sus scrofa (pig). RNAcentral's name for it is "lncRNA (ENSSSCG00060043026.1)". The record is from RNAcentral. Lineage: Eukaryota; Metazoa; Chordata; Mammalia; Artiodactyla; Suidae.
CUGAGAAUGAAUGGAAAUUUCCAGGAUUAGGUUUGAGUUAAGGAAGAAUUCUCCAAGAGUUUGGCAAGUCUUAGAGUGGAACCCAGUUUUUCUUAAGGGGAUUUACUCCCCAAUCCCUGGAACCUGCAUGGAUGGUCUGUGGGCUUUAGACUCACAGAGAAUAGGAUCGGCAUACAGGUGACACUGCUUCUAGCUGUGCUCCUCAGACAAUUUAUCUACCCUGCUAAAAAUCCCCUCACCCCGCUGGGAAUGGAGGUCAAACCUAUUACUGGGUGAUUGGGAUCAUUCAGUGACCAAGGGUAUGCAAAAUGCUUAUCCCAGUUCUAGAGUGGAUGAUGAGCAAAAAAAAAUGAACUUUUCUAAAUAAUUCUCAAAAAUUAUGGGUUGAAGAAAGAGCAGGAAAAAGCUGAAAUCUUGCCUAUGCAUAAGUUCUUCAUAAUUAUGUUCCUUUUUUUACUGUUAGGAAUAUUUGAGACAGCAUUCUAGCUUUGUGUGGGAAGUAACAAUAAAUGUCGAACUCUGAACAUGUACCAGAUUUAUAUUUCUUAAAACACUUGUAAAAUGAAUUGAAAGGUGAUAUUAUGGCAUCUUAGAGGUUUUGCUUUGGGGUUUUGUUUGUCGUGGCAUAUGGAAGUUUCCAGGCCAGGGAUUGACUUGUAGAAAAUGAAAGGUACUUGAGAUGAUUCAAAGUGUUUUCAAUGAGGAGAAACUUAUCCUGAAUUUCUCUUUAAUCGAAGAGGAACUGAUGUUGCAUUUUAAAGUAGCAUUAAUAAUGGGAAAGAAAAAGAACUGUAUAUCAAGUGAGAAGUGGUAAUACGGAAUAAUCACAGAGUAUAGCAGCUAAAUGCCUGUCUUUAAGAUUCUAGAGAGGAAUAUAGUUUUCAAAGCCCUUUGGUAACGGGCUUCUUAAAACAUCCAAUGGGGUUUGAACUGGGGGAUACGAACACUUAGUUCCAUGGGAGGCAGGCUAUUCUUAGCAGCUGGAAUCUCCAGGGAACAGGUCCAGAGUCUUUGCUCCAAUGCAAAUCGUAUUUAAUUCACCAAGCAGCGGAUUCCUGAGGCACCCCUACUGCAUCCAGAGCUAUUCCUGGGAAGGCAGGAAGCAGGGGUGCCCCUCACCUACAAGGACCAUAAGCCAGAUUGGGGAGGUCAACACAUGCUCCUAAAAGGAGGAGUUGGUACUGGCAGUGACUUCCCAAGUUGUUGAGAAGAGAGAAGGAACAUUGUGUGUGGCAGUUGAUGAUCACCUUUGUGGAGGACGGGAGGACUGAGCGGGGUCUCGAAAAUCAGUGGGAGUUUCUGUCUUCCUGUCUCAAUAAAUGGCAGCACCACUCAUCUGGGUGUUCAGUCCAAAGCCCUAGAAAUGAUACUCGCUUCCACUUUCCCGCAUCCCUCAAUCCAGACUCUCAGCCAUCCCUACACCUUCUACCUCCAAAAUGUAUCUUGACUCUCACCAUCUCUGUAGCCAUCAUCUUGGGUCAGGCCACCAUCAUUUCUCUGAAAUGCUUCAGUAGGUUAACCAGACUCGCUCUCUCCCUGCUGGGCCCAUCCUUGAAUCCAUUUUCCAUAAAAGAAAUGGUGUGAUGAGGUCACCCCUGAGAUGGAAACUCUUCAGAGGUUUCCCUCUGGGCUACAGAUGAGGUCUUCGCUCCUCACCUGGCUGACUAGGCCCUGUAGGAUGUGGUCCAGAUUCGCCCCUGUUCUUCUCCCCUUAGCCUACCAGGGUCCAGCCACACUGCCCUCCUAGGAUGCUGGGAGCCAGUUAGAUGUACAAUAGAGAAAAAGCAUGUGAACAUUCCCGAAGGCCAUGUAAAGAGAUCAGCUCAAACUUAGCGAGAAAGCUUGGUUUGAGAAUGAUUCUGCCACACACACGGGGGCAUCUAAGUGGAAAAUACCAGCAGCACGGCUUAGUGUCAAGGACCCCCAGGGAAGCCUCCUUUUAUAUUUCAAAAUGUGUCUCCUUUACCAGCUUCAUUGAAUUCUCUCCCAGGGUGAUAUAGUUCAUUAAAUCCCCGCCAAGAAGUGUAGCCAGUAUUUCCUGUGCAUCAAGUAUUAUACUGGGUACAGGAGCUAUAAGAAAAGAGACUUUUACAGUAGAAAGUUGACAAAAUACUAUAAACCAGCUAAAAU